UACGUAGGGGGCAAGCGUUAUCCGGAUUUACUGGGUGUAAAGGGAGCGUAGGCGGUGCAGCAAGUCAGAAGUGAAAGCCCGGGGCUCAACUCCGGGACUGCUUUUGGAACUGUUGAACUAGAUUGCAGGAGAGGUAAGUGGAAUUCCUAGUGUAGCGGUGAAAUGCGUAGAUAUUAGGAGGAACACCAGUGGCGAAGGCGGCUUACUGGACUGUAAAUGACGCUGAGGCUCGAAAGCGUGGGGAGCAAACAGG
RNAcentral lists this ribosomal RNA (253 nucleotides) under uncultured bacterium. RNAcentral describes it as "partial 16S ribosomal RNA". It matches the Rfam family "Bacterial small subunit ribosomal RNA", at positions 524 to 776 of the family's 1533-position model. The record is from RNAcentral.